RNAcentral lists this ribosomal RNA (327 nucleotides) under Klebsiella pneumoniae. RNAcentral's name for it is "bacterial SSU rRNA". It matches the Rfam family "Bacterial small subunit ribosomal RNA", at positions 300 to 619 of the family's 1533-position model. The record is from RNAcentral. Lineage: Bacteria; Pseudomonadati; Pseudomonadota; Gammaproteobacteria; Enterobacterales; Enterobacteriaceae.
AUGACCAGCCACACUGGAACUGAGACACGGUCCAGACUCCUACGGGAGGCAGCAGUGGGGAAUAUUGCACAAUGGGCGCAAGCCUGAUGCAGCCAUGCCGCGUGUGUGAAGAAGGCCUUCGGGUUGUAAAGCACUUUCAGCGGGGAGGAAGGCGUUAAGGUUAAUAACCUUGGCGAUUGACGUUACCCGCAGAAGAAGCACCGGCUAACUCCGUGCCAGCAGCCGCGGUAAUACGGAGGGUGCAAGCGUUAAUCGGAAUUACUGGGCGUAAAGCGCACGCAGGCGGUCUGUCAAGUCGGAUGUGAAAUCCCCGGGCUCAACCUGGGA